RNAcentral lists this transfer RNA (65 nucleotides) under Dipodomys ordii (Ord's kangaroo rat). It matches the Rfam family "tRNA". Rfam says of the family: Transfer RNA (tRNA) molecules are approximately 80 nucleotides in length. Lineage: Eukaryota; Metazoa; Chordata; Mammalia; Rodentia; Heteromyidae. The record is from Rfam by way of RNAcentral.
GGUGGCUCAGUGGUAAAGUGCUUGCCUUGCAUGCAUGAGGUCCUGGGUUCGAUUCCUUAGCACCA